Molecule: ribosomal RNA, 301 nt
Filed under: uncultured bacterium
Lineage: Bacteria
Description: partial 16S ribosomal RNA
Rfam family: Bacterial small subunit ribosomal RNA
Source: RNAcentral
CAGUCGCCGCGGUAAUACGUAGGGUGCAAGCGUUAAUCGGAAUUACUGGGCGUAAAGCGUGCGCAGGCGGUUAUAUAAGACAGAUGUGAAAUCCCCGGGCUCAACCUGGGAACUGCAUUUGUGACUGUAUAGCUAGAGUACGGCAGAGGGGGAUGGAAUUCCGCGUGUAGCAGUGAAAUGCGUAGAUAUGCGGAGGAACACCGAUGGCGAAGGCAAUCCUGGGCCUGUACUGACGCUCAUGCACGAAAGCGUGGGGAGCAAACAGGAUUAGAUACCCGAGUAGUCCCUGUCUCUUAUACAC